RNAcentral lists this long non-coding RNA (256 nucleotides) under Prunus persica (peach). RNAcentral's name for it is "long non-coding RNA (PPER_LNC001965)". Lineage: Eukaryota; Viridiplantae; Streptophyta; Magnoliopsida; Rosales; Rosaceae. The record is from RNAcentral.
UUCUAAUGGAGCAGAGUCUUGAGUAGUAUGCACAUCACUAUUUGUUUGUGUUUCCAUAGGAGACUGCACAAUCUGUUGCUGUAACAGAUUUGGUUCUGAAUCCAAAUCUGAUACAGUUGAACUUGCUCCAUCUCCCCAAGACAUAGGAAUAUGCAAUGCCUCACUUGUUUCCCAAUUCCACAUUGCUUCUUCAUCAAAAAUAACACUCCUAGACAGUUCAAUCUUUUGAGUUCUCAAGUUGAGCACUCUAUACCCC